AACGAACGCUGGCGGCAUGCCUAAUACAUGCAAGUCUAACGAUCACUUCGGUGGUAGUGGCGCACGGGUGCGUAACGCGUGGGAAUCUGCCCUUGGGUUCGGAAUAACGUCGGGAAACUGACGCUAAUACCGGAUGAUGACGUAAGUCCAAAGAUUUAUCGCCCAGGGAUGAGCCCGCGCAGGAUUAGCUAGUUGGUGGGGUAAAGGCCUACCAAGGCGACGAUCCUUAGCUGGUCUGAGAGGAUGAUCAGCCACACUGGGACUGAGACACGGCCCAGACUCCUACGGGAGGCAGCAGUAGGGAAUAUUGGACAAUGGGGACAACCCUGAUCCAGCAAUGCCGCGUGAGUGAUGAAGGCCUUAGGGUUGUAAAGCUCUUUUACCCGGGAUGAUAAUGACAGUACCGGGAGAAUAAGCCCCGGCUAACUCCGUGCCAGCCGCCGCCGUAA
Molecule: ribosomal RNA, 449 nt
Filed under: uncultured bacterium
Lineage: Bacteria
Description: partial 16S ribosomal RNA
Rfam family: Bacterial small subunit ribosomal RNA
Source: RNAcentral